CCCAGACAGAAAUAUGGAUCUAAACAAAGAAAUGAAGAACAACAGAAAUGACUCUUUCAAAAAUGAAGAGGAAUGAGACUGGGAUGAAGAGGAAUUUUACCAGGAACCAGAAAUGGGAAAGACCAAGCUUCAAUUGCUCCUCUGGCACUUGACAGCUACAAGAUCUUGGGCAAAUAAAUCAAUGUGUGAAGACUC
Symphalangus syndactylus (siamang) is the source of this 195-nucleotide long non-coding RNA. RefSeq lists it as uncharacterized. Lineage: Eukaryota; Metazoa; Chordata; Mammalia; Primates; Hylobatidae. The record is from RefSeq and is a predicted model, not a curated record.